UCUCCGUUGGUGAACCAGCGGAGGGAUCAUUACCGAGUCUUUACAACUCAUAACCCUUUUGGAAGCUUCAUACCUUUUUUCUGCUUCGGGGCGCCGCCGGUCUUGCCCGUCGUCCAUUUAUAAUCUCUUAGAUGUGAAUCCACGCUACAUCUUAUUUUUCUAAGCAAACUGUUAAUUCUUUCAACAACGUAUCUCUUGUCUCCAACAUCGAAGAAGAACGCAUUAAAACGGAAUAUCACACGCCUGAAUUCCAGUCACUCACCUCCACACGGACUG
Molecule: unclassified non-coding RNA, 276 nt
Filed under: plant metagenome
Description: partial contains small subunit ribosomal RNA, internal transcribed spacer 1, and 5.8S ribosomal RNA
Source: RNAcentral